Molecule: ribosomal RNA, 372 nt
Filed under: Triticum aestivum (bread wheat)
Lineage: Eukaryota; Viridiplantae; Streptophyta; Magnoliopsida; Poales; Poaceae
Description: partial small subunit ribosomal RNA
Source: RNAcentral
AUGUAUAGGUUGAUGGAAUGGGGUUUGCUACCGCUUGAUGUGGCUACAGAGGUCUUUGCGAAGAAACAGGGUCUGAAACUGAGGUCACCGGUCAAAACGCCUUCCACGCAGAGAAGGGCAAGUUCUCUAACCAAGAAGAUACUGCUGUUAGGCGAUAAGAAAACCAACUCAGGUACAAAGGGAAAAACCACAGCGCAAAAGAAGAGAGCAUCUAGCGACAUAGAUGACGACGAGGACGACGACUUUGUCAAAACCAACUCAGCCACAAAGGGAAAAACCACGACACAAAAGAGAAAGAAGGCAUCUAGCAACACAGACGACGACGACGACGACGGUGACUUUGUCAUGCCUAAGAAGCCCAAGAAGCAAUAG